RNAcentral lists this ribosomal RNA (787 nucleotides) under uncultured fungus. RNAcentral describes it as "eukaryotic LSU rRNA". The stretch from base 305 to 458 matches the Rfam family "5.8S ribosomal RNA". Lineage: Eukaryota; Fungi. The record is from RNAcentral.
AAGUCGUAACAAGGUUUCCGUAGGUGAACCUGCGGAAGGAUCAUUAACACGUAUCCACGUAUCAACCCCUCUGUGAAAACACAAAACCUGAAGGUUUGGUCUUAGUCUACUGUGCGCUAUGGGUCCCAAUGAUGGAGUAGUCUUCGGACUACUGGGGCUUGUACGGUAGGUGCUUGACGAUCAACCGCUAUUUUCCCAUUGUUAGCCCUUUUACAACAUUUAACCCCUUGUACUCUUUUGUACUGAACCAAUUCUUUCGAUGCUCGCAAGAGCGAUUCGAAAUGAUAUUACGAAACUAAAGAACAACUCUUAGCAACGGAUAUCUUGGUUCCCGCAACGAUGAAGAACGCAGCGAAAUGCGAUACGUAAUGCGAAUUGCAGAAUUCAGUGAAUCAUCAAAUCUUUGAACGCAAAUUGCACUCUCGGGUACACCCGGGAGUACGCUUCUUUCAGUAUCGGUUCUAUCAAAGCUCGCCUGCGUUUUGAGCUUGCUCAGAGCGUCUUUGUGCGGAAAUUGAGUGUCGUACUUGUCGAGAGUGCGUCGCUUGAAAGGUAGAAACGGUAGUUCCGUCGUCUCGUACGAACUCAUUGGCUUCCCUGGGCUUGCCUAGGGCUGAAGCAUACUGAGUGACGUGGUUAAGUUCGCCUUCGUGCGACACAAUACCUCGUCGCCAACUCGGUGCGCAUCAGUGUCAUUCGAGGAAGGGACAUUCUAUUCCGUUCCUUGGAUUAUAACCAAACAACAAAAUCAGAUCUGAAAUGAAGUGAGAGGACCCGCUGAACUUAA